RNAcentral lists this ribosomal RNA (375 nucleotides) under uncultured organism. RNAcentral describes it as "bacterial SSU rRNA". It matches the Rfam family "Bacterial small subunit ribosomal RNA", at positions 526 to 896 of the family's 1533-position model. The record is from RNAcentral.
CGGAGGGUGCGAGCGUUGUCCGGAAUCAUUGGGCGUAAAGGGCGCGUAGGUGGCCCGGUCAGUCUUUGGUGAAAGCGCGGGGCUCAACCCUGCGUCGGCCAGGGAUACUGCCGCGGCUCGAGCACUGUAGAGGCAGGCGGAAUUCCGGGUGUAGCGGUGGAAUGCGUAGAGAUCCGGAAGAACACCGGUGGCGAAGGCGGCCUGCUGGGCAGUUUGGCUGACACUGAGGCGCGACAGCGUGGGGAGCAAACAGGAUUAGAUACCCUGGUAGUCCACGCCGUAAACGAUGGGCACUAGGCGCUUGGGGGAGCGACCCCCCGAGGGCCGGCGCUAACGCAUUAAGUGCCCCGCCUGGGGAGUACGGCCGCAAGGCUG